This is a long non-coding RNA of Pleuronectes platessa (European plaice), 2464 nucleotides long. RefSeq lists it as uncharacterized. The transcript is spliced from 2 exons. NCBI's taxonomy places the organism in Eukaryota, Metazoa, Chordata, Actinopteri, Pleuronectiformes, Pleuronectidae. The record is from RefSeq and is a predicted model, not a curated record.
AUGAGAGGCCCGGGGAUAUUGGAUCUGAUUGGCAUCAUAACUGAAGCCAUUUGCGCUUUGAUAUGGGUAGCCACUGUAAAUUGCGGAGCUGUCGUAGUAGGUUGCCUUUUGCAUCUCGCCGUUUCCCAAUAUUUAUUUCAGAAACUGACAGGGUCUUGACACCCGUGUAGAAUAACAUUGGCACCCCGUGGUCACGUGACGCCUCUCCGCCAAUGGCCUCCUCGGGUGAACCUAGGGUUACAAGAAGCACUGUGAGAGGAAGAAAUGGUGGCGAUCCAUCUUACUUUUCAAUACAAGGCUGACACGGGAGACUAUGGAGGCAAGAUAGGGCCAACAGUCCUGUAGACUAUUACCGUUUACCUUAUGGCUUACACGGGGCACAAAGGCACGAACUAACCUUGCAUUACCAUCUGUGCCGAACAACAUUAAAACAAAAACCUUUUCAAAAGAAUUUCAUAUUGCUAAAUCAAUGUAAGGAUCUAACAAGAAACUGCUUGACAUUUUAAACCUAUGAUACUAUUAAGAAUAAAAGAGUUACAGCAUGGAGAAAAGGGCUUUAAGUGCAAAAAGGGGGGCCUGCAGGGAAAGCUUGUUAGUGGGUUACCACACAGGAAAAUAAUAUUUCUGUUACAUUGUUAUUCUACCAACAGGGCUGUCAACAGUGGAUCUAGUUUCCUUGUAGCAGCUGAAAACAUCCCCCGUGUCCCGCAAACGUUUCAGCGCAUUUGAGUUUGUUUCACCAUGAGUUAAAAAAUAGCCUCCUUCAGUGAACAGCCACCUGGCACAAACCAAAAACAACCGCAUUCUCUCCUUCUCUUUUUUCUUUUGUUUUCCUUUCUUUCUUGUUCUGUCUCCCUUUGCGUGGUGCAACAUAAAUGGAAAGGGCCACGAGGAAACCUGAAAAACCGGGCGGGUAUCCGUGCAUCUCCAUGACCAGACUGUGAACUUUUUCCUCGCAGGCCCGGUAGUAAUGGCUGCUGUCGGUGCCGCCUGGGCAGCGGCUAGUCGCGGUGAUAUAUGGGGGGGUCAGUGAGCCGGCACGGCACGGCUCUGCUCGGGGGGAGAGACCAGGCCACCGGUUCCAAGGCGCAUGGAGACGCGAGGACGGCACACCCAGAGUCUGCUGCUGAAGCACCGUAACUCACGCAGGUGGAGGCUGUCACUGGGAUUACUCGGCUCGACCUGACCGUGCACUGGAGCCUCAUCCAACCUUGCCUUUCGCCACCGCACCUGAACUCCCCCCUGACUCGGGUGGAGGCACACACAGUCGAGUGGAUGAUCUAAACCAGAGGCCCUCAGACUAACUUUUUCACAUCUUGCUUAACUUUUUUUUUUUUUUACAGAAUUGCUUUUUGCACAAAUGUAGAAGUUGAUUGAUCAUGUUUUAAAUCUAAUCUAUUUUAGCAUUAAACAAAUGUUUCAGAGGUAUUCACACAAAUCAAGGCUCCUUAUCACUGUCAGCGCAGAGGAGUACGAGGCGCAGACCUCUGGAUGUCGGCCAGUCGGCGGUCCAUAUCUUCCCACAAUGUUGACACUCGGAGCUCUUAACAGCCAGGCUUGGGUUACCGAUACACUCAGCAGAAGAUAACUCUUUCUGCAAGGUUUACACCGGCCAACAUCAAGGCUAAUGCGAAAUUCAACGCCUUAAGCAGAUAGCAGCCAUCUCUCAUGGACGCAGAGCAGCACUGGGGCGGAUUAUGGGACUGGAGAACUGUGCUUAUAUAGGUGGUUUUAAUAAAGCUAUUUGAUUUUCAUGUUGAAGUCACAGGCUCAUUCUAACUGAAAAUGUGUCCUGAUAAUAUAGCCUAUACAAGUUUUUGGUGCAAUAGCUGCCUAUUCAAUUUUGGAGGUAAGUGCAAAACAGGUCAAAAAUAAUACUAAUACUAAUAUUUAUAAUGAUAGCCUACAGAUUUUACUCACCCUCAGAGCUUUGUUAAUGUUUAACCUGUGUCUAAAUUGACCAUUGUGUGGACUCUAAUGAAAGGCUCUUUCAUGCUGUGUUGUCCUGACAACUUUUAGAAGCAACAGAUCAGCCCUUUGCAUUGUCACCGUCGUUUAAGCACCUUUUCUACCAUUUAUGAAAAUAAAAAGUGAUGAACACUCACAGUCAAAAUUCAGGGAGACAGUUCUUAAGCUUUUUGUUACAUCCCUGAAAAUAAUCAACCAUGCCAACACGAAUGCAGACUUAUUUCUAUAGGACCAUACCACAUUUUAACACUGCGGACACAUUUACUGUUGACAUAUCUCUUCUUUUGGAUUUAAAUGUAUUAAUUUGCACAUUUAGUUUUUUAAAUAGUUUUAGGAUCUUACUUGUUGCUAUGAUUCAAAGGAUUAAUAACUUUUGAGAAAUUGAACCUGCUAUCAUGCAUCAUAGUUUCUAAAAUACUCAAUAUGAUACAGUUUAACACCAAUAUGACCACAUUGUAAUGUCUUAAAUGUUUGGAAAUAAACUGUGAUAAUCAGA